Molecule: ribosomal RNA, 497 nt
Filed under: uncultured bacterium
Lineage: Bacteria
Description: partial 16S ribosomal RNA
Rfam family: Bacterial small subunit ribosomal RNA
Source: RNAcentral
GAUGAACGCUGGCGGCGUGCCUAAUACAUGCAAGUCGAGCGAACAGACGAGGAGCUUGCUCCUCUGACGUUAGCGGCGGACGGGUGAGUAACACGUGGAUAACCUACCUAUAAGACUGGGAUAACUUCGGGAAACCGGAGCUAAUACCGGAUAAUAUAUUGAACCGCAUGGUUCAAUAGUGAAAGACGGUUUUGCUGUCACUUAUAGAUGGAUCCGCGCCGCAUUAGCUAGUUGGUAAGGUAACGGCUUACCAAGGCGACGAUGCGUAGCCGACCUGAGAGGGUGAUAGGCCACCCUGGAACUGAGACACGGUCCAGACUACUACGGGAGGCAGCAGUAGGGAAUCUUCCGCAAUGGGCGAAAGCCUGACGGAGCAACGCCGCGUGAGUGAUGAAGGUCUUCGGAUCGUAAAACUCUGUUAUUAGGGAAGAACAAAUGUGUAAGUAACUAUGCACGUCUUGACGGUACCUAAUCAGAAAGCCACGGCUAACUACGUG